UUUCUUUUCAUGGUUUGCCUUCUUAUUUCUGAAAGACUUAGUGAAGCCAUAGUCACAGUAAUAAUGGGUAUGCGGGUAGCAUUACACCUUCAACUUUUUCUCUUACCACAUUAUCCCAACUGGUUUAAAGCCCUGAAGAUAGUAGUCACUUUACUGGCCACUUUUUCAUUUAUAAUCACUUUAGUAGUUAAAAACAGUUUUCCAGAAAAAGGACAUAAGAGACCUGGUCAAGU
This 233-nucleotide long non-coding RNA is filed under the name Homo sapiens (human). Its description in RNAcentral is "non-protein coding lnc-RPL30-7:1". Lineage: Eukaryota; Metazoa; Chordata; Mammalia; Primates; Hominidae. The record is from RNAcentral.